Long non-coding RNA from Conger conger (European conger), 2406 nucleotides. RefSeq lists it as uncharacterized. Lineage: Eukaryota; Metazoa; Chordata; Actinopteri; Anguilliformes; Congridae. The transcript is spliced from 3 exons. The record is from RefSeq and is a predicted model, not a curated record.
GAGGGUGUACGUGUACAAGGCUUUGCAUCUCAUGAGACAGAAUUUGAGACUUUCUCCUCCAACCGAACAAACGCCUAUGUGUAUUUCUCUAUUUAUAAAUACAUGUAAGACCGUCCAAAACCGUUGUGCAAAGGGAAAGUGAAACUUGGGGCUGGGGUCGUAUGUAAAGAAACACUCGACGCAGGCUCCCAUUUUGUAAUCGAAGAGACAAAGGAAGAGGUUAGGUGAAGCUUGAAGAUUGCUAUACAAGCGAGCUGCUGUUGGCCCAGUGUUGUGGAGUACUACCGGAAGACCUGCCGGAAGGAAGACCAGAACGCUGUAAAAAAUGGCUGAGAAAAAGGCUGCGAACAUGGACUCGGACAGCUCUGACAGCGAGGGGGAGAGCAAGAGGAUGGAGGAGUAUCUGAAGCAGAGGAAGCUGAUGAAGAAGAAGAUGAAAGAACACGGAAUUGUGAAACAUGGAAAGUCGGGAAAAGGAGUGCGUGAAAUAGAGUGGGAAUGUGACUCGGAUGUGCAGGGCACAAAAUGGGGGGUUGACUUUGGCUGUGAUAAAGGGAUGUUUAAUGCAGUGGGAAUCCGUGGUGGGGUUUCAUACGAGACUUACUCUGAAAAAAAAUCAUUCAAGUACAAAGAGAAAUAUUCCUCUUAAUGUCAGGAGCAAACAAAACACACACACCAUCACACACACACACACACACACACCAUCACACACCUCAAACACAAACCAUAACACAUCUCAAACAAACACACACACCAUCACACCUCAAACACACACACACACACCGUCACACACCUCAAACACACAUACCGUCACACACCUCAAACACACACACCAUAACACAUCUCAAACACACACUACAACACAUCUCAAACACACACCAUCACACACCUCAAACACACACCGUCACACACCUCAAACACACACACCAUAACACAUCUCACACACACACACCAUAACAUAUCUCAAACACACACACCAUAACAUAUCUCAAACACACACGCACACACACACCCCACCACACACACAAACACACACACACCCCCACAUACAUAAACACACACACACCCCACCACACACACACACACACACACACACACUCACCCCACCAUCACCAUUGCACAAAUCAAACACACAACAUGUUUUUCCAUCAGCAGCCACAGUGAAAGUGUGUGAUGUCAUUAGGGCCCGCCUCCUCAGCUCUCAGUCGCCGUUGGCCGUUGCGGUUUGACAUUUUUUCAUGUUGUUAUUUUGGAAAGAGUGCGCCUACAUUCCAAAGUGAGUGUAUGAUGUUUAGUUUUUGUUCUUAUCUGCCAUGCCUUGCUUGUUAAUGUCAUUUAAACUUAAAUCUUGAUGGUGUAGAUUCUUUGCUGAUUACUGUUUGUUUCAGACAUAUCCAAAUUAUAGCAUUUAAAUUUGUGGUUAUUUUUAAUAAUAAUAAUAAUCUAGUUAAAUUGUCUGACAUUUGUGCAGUGUGCAAGUUUCACACUCAAAGCCCCCUAAGCACUCCCGCGAUGACAGAACGCAGCCAGCUCGUAUUACAGUGGGUUCACGUGCUUGUGCAUCAGUAAAUCCGUGUCGGUGUGUUUGUACAAACUCGCGCUGCUCCCAGCUACCUCUCCGUCGCAAUGCCGUGCACCCAAACGCUGAUCACAGUGCCACACCAGCAAACGCCCGGUGGCUGUAGCGGCCUAUGUUUACAGGCAAGGAUUGAAUGUGCAUUAUAAAAAUAUAUCAUGCUACGACGACAGUCGUCUGCAGUUGUGUACAUGAAGUACAUUAUAGGCUACCAACAGGCUCAACAUGUUCUCAGUGGUUGACUCUUUUCCUGUAGAAUACCCACAAUCAGAAGUCACAUGUUUAUUUGUUUGUUUGUUUUUUUGGGGGGCAUUCAGGUUUGAUCUUUGCCAAUUCCCCUUUCCCAUUGGUCUGUGUCGAAAGCCUAUUGUCUGUGUAAAAAUGCUAUAAAAAUCAGACUUGAGUUGAAGGCUUGUUUAUGGAGGUCUUGUGUUGGAUUAUCAUUUCUUGCUGGAAAUAACCUUGCUACAAUGCAUUUACUUGACCCCACACAACUAGGCCGAUAUUUCUAACUUCAGUGCCCACAGUACGUACAGUGCAGGUCAGUGGUAUUAGCCUACCUGUGGUUUUAAAGAAGACUUCAGUGGGUGUAACUACCCCUCCACCUCCCCCCCCCCACCCUUCUACCUCCAACUUAAAAAUAAUUAUAGGAUACUCCUCCAAUGGUCUUUUUGGUCUUUUUAAUUGUAAUUCAUGCAAUGGAUGCUACUUUGAGGAAAGUUUUGUCUAUGAUUCUUUUUGAAGUAAAACUAAUCUUUGUAUGUUAUUUGGUGCGACACUGAAUAAUGUUUAUAUGCUGGUCUGCUGUUCAAUAAAGGCACUUAAAUUAA